This 423-nucleotide ribosomal RNA is filed under the name uncultured bacterium. RNAcentral's name for it is "partial 16S ribosomal RNA". It matches the Rfam family "Bacterial small subunit ribosomal RNA", at positions 360 to 774 of the family's 1533-position model. The record is from RNAcentral.
AAUCUUCCGCAAUGGACGAAAGUCUGACGGAGCAAUGCCGCGUGAGUGAUGAAGGCCNNNGGGUCNUCAAACUCUGUUGUUAGNGACNAAUAGGUAUCGGAGUAAUAUGCCGGUACUUUGACUGUAGCUUACCAGAAAGCACCGGCUAACUACGUGCCAGCAGCCGCGGUAAUACGUAGGGGGCGAGCGUUGUCCGGAAUUAUUGGGCGUAAAGGGCGCGCAGGCGGUUUCUUAAGUCUGAUGUGAAAACUCGUGGCUUAACCACGAGCGGUCGUUGGAAACUGGGAAACUUGAGUACAGAAGAGGAGAGUGGAAUUCCACGUGUAGCGGUGAAAUGCGUAGAGAUGUGGAGGAACACCAGUGGCGAAGACGGCUCUCUGGUCUGUAACUGACGCUGAGAUGCGAAAGCGUGGGGAGCAAACA